Molecule: ribosomal RNA, 253 nt
Filed under: uncultured bacterium
Lineage: Bacteria
Description: partial 16S ribosomal RNA
Rfam family: Bacterial small subunit ribosomal RNA
Source: RNAcentral
UACGUAGGGUGCGAGCGUUAAUCGGAAUUACUGGGCGUAAAGGGUGCGUAGGCGGGUCUUUAAGUCAGGGGUGAAAUCCUGGAGCUCAACUCCAGAACUGCCUUUGAUACUGAAGAUCUUGAGUUCGGGAGAGGUGAGUGGAACUGCGAGUGUAGAGGUGAAAUUCGUAGAUAUUCGCAAGAACACCAGUGGCGAAGGCGGCUCACUGGCCCGAUACUGACGCUGAGGCACGAAAGCGUGGGGAGCAAACAGG